This 497-nucleotide ribosomal RNA is filed under the name uncultured bacterium. Its description in RNAcentral is "partial 16S ribosomal RNA". It matches the Rfam family "Bacterial small subunit ribosomal RNA", at positions 28 to 507 of the family's 1533-position model. The record is from RNAcentral.
GAUGAACGCUGGCGGCGUGCCUAAUACAUGCAAGUCGAGCGAACAGAUAAGGAGCUUGCUCCUUUGACGAUAGCGGCGGACGGGUGUGUAACACGUGGAUAACCUACCUAUAAGACUGGAAUAACUCCGGGACACGGGGUCUAAUGCCGGAUAACAUGUUGCACCGCAUGGUUCUACAGUAAAAGGCGGCUUUGCUGUCACUUCUCGCGGGAUCCGCGCCGUAUUAGCUGGUUGGUGGGGUAACGGCUCACCAAGGGGACGAUACGUAGCCGACCUGAGAGGGGGAUCGGCCACACGGGAAGUGAGACACGGUCCAGACGACUACGGGAGGCAGCAGAAGGGAACCUGACGCAAUGGGCGAAAGCCUGACGGAGCAACGCCGCGUCAGUGAUGAAGGUCUUCGGAUCGUGAAGCUCUGUUAUUAGUUAAAAACAAAUGCGGAAGUAACUGUGCGCGGCUUGACGGUACCUAAUCAGAAAGCCACGGCUAACUACGUG